GUGUACGCGUUCUCUCUCUCUCUCUCUCUCUCUCUCUCUCUCUCUCUGUAUAGAUCUAUAUCUAUAUAGAUAUACACAUAUAUCUAUAUCUAUCUAUCUAUCUUUGUAUCUAUAUAUAUAUAUAUAUAUAGAGAGAGAGAGAGAGAGUAUAUAGAGAGAGGAAACGAUAUAUAUA
Molecule: microRNA precursor, 175 nt
Filed under: Marmota monax (woodchuck)
Lineage: Eukaryota; Metazoa; Chordata; Mammalia; Rodentia; Sciuridae
Source: RNAcentral